Molecule: long non-coding RNA, 714 nt
Filed under: Oryza sativa Indica Group (long-grained rice)
Lineage: Eukaryota; Viridiplantae; Streptophyta; Magnoliopsida; Poales; Poaceae
Description: lncRNA OsMH63_07G005640
Source: RNAcentral
ACUUCACCGAGCAGGCUCUAUAAAAAGGGCAUACUUGAUGUUGAAGGAGCAAGAGAGCUACCACGCCUACAUGCAGCCUGGAGUUCAGUAGGAGUAGGGAGCAAGCUCUACACAAUUUUUUCUGAAGGAUUCGUCAUGGCUCAAGUAACUUUAAAUUAUGCAAGGAUUCUAAUGAAAAUUGUGGAUCAGCUCGGUCUUGAGAAACCAACAAUGGCACACGAGAAAAGUGCGGAUGGGAUAUUCCAUUCCUUUAUUGAAGUGGAUCUUGUAAACUGGGUGUCUAAAGGAUUCCGAGGUCCAAGACAAUUUAUAGGAACAUCACCUAUCUCUUCAAGAAGAGCUACGAGAAAAGCAACUCGUAACGCUGUCCAAAGGCUAGAAAAAUGUGGCCUUGUUAAGAUUAGUGAUUACAGCCGGCGUGAUUUGAAAUUAUGGAAGAAGAGAGUCAUAAGGGUUACUACAGUAUGCAAGGAAGUUGUGGAAGGUAGAGAUGAGCUUGAGAGAGAUUUCUUCUUUUUGCAACAAAACCGUGCUAAGUUACUUGUAGAGAACUGUGAGCUGCAGAGGAAAAUUGUUGAGUUGCAAGAGAACGUAGAUUGCUGGAAGGCAGAUAAGGAAGAGAAAGAUAAUCUCAUCAUCGAGAACUAUGAGUUAAAGGCAGAACUGCGUGCUCUAAAAAGACAACUUUCAGAAGCCAAGAAUAAGAACGAAUAA